GUCCAGGGAUGGGAAUCGAACCCACGACCUUCCGCUUACUGGGCAGAUGCCAUGUCCACUAGGCUACCCUGGA
This 73-nucleotide transfer RNA is filed under the name Cordylochernes scorpioides. RNAcentral's name for it is "tRNA-Thr". The record is from RNAcentral. Lineage: Eukaryota; Metazoa; Arthropoda; Arachnida; Pseudoscorpiones; Chernetidae.